GGCUCUCACCUCGAACAUAAGCCCGAUGAGGACGCAGAGCACCAGGCAGAAGCCGAUGUCCGCAUGGUUGUGGAUGACGAACUCCUGGCUGAAGAGCGGGUCCACAGUUAUUUCACUUCUAAAUAAAUAUGGUUUUUUAAAAGUGGCACGCGGUGGAAUGUAAUUGAGACAGGAUGGAGUUCCUAGAGAAAUUUUACUUCCUCAAUCUGCACUCCACCUUACUUAAAAUACAGUCUUGGGUCUGUAAUUCCCUUAUCUGACUCUCAAGGAAAUGACAAAGUAAUGCCUAGAUUGGACUAAACCUCAUUUAACUUCAAGGCUGACCUUUCUCAAAGUUGAACCUUCGUCUUGUGAGGAACAGAAAGAUCAAGAACUCUGAAGCACCUCGACUUUCCACCUGUGAAGAUGUGUUCAAAUUUGCAACGUGCGGCCACACCUAUGAGGUCACUCCCUCUGGAGGAAACCAGCUGCCACUUUGUGAGGAUACUCAUAGUCCUGUGGAGGCAUAUCCUCCAUAUGGCUGAGACCUCCUGCGAACAACCAUCACUGACUUGCCAGACAUGAGUGUGCCACCUUGGAAGCAGAUUUUCCAGCCCCAGUUAAGCCUUCAGAUGACAUCAGCCCCUGCUAAUCUCUUGACUACAACCUCAUGAGAGACCCUGAGCCAGAACUAGCCAGGCUUACCCCUCAUGGUUACAAAGUGGCUGCAACAGCUCCAGGUGUUCUAUCCUUUAACACAGAAUAACUCAAACAACAAGACCCAAUAUUCAGACAAGAAGGAAAGGGACUUUUGGAGAGUGAAGAAAACUUUCCUAGAAACCUCAAACUUCUCCCCAUGCCUUAUUGGCCAGAUUGUAUCCCAUGCCCAUUUCUAAACCAAUCAUUGGCAAAGUGAGUGGAAUUGACGUGAUUAGAUUAACUUUACCAAGAAUGCAUCCUCAGAGAGGCUGAGAAAAAGUCCAGCCUCCUUUGAAGAGCCUGGCUACCUUUCACCUGAACAAAACAAGAAUUCUGAUGAAAAAUGGAGAAUGUAUGUGGAGCAGGCACCCGGAGUGUCUAUGCCAGGAUUUUUUUUCAGUGCGUUUCACCGGUUAUAUUUUUGUCUCUUUACCUUACAAGAUAUGUGGCACGUUUGCCUAAAACAAGCCUUGCUUUCUGAUUUCUGUGCACUAGGCACUUAAACCUUGCAAAUGUCGCUUACCUAACAGUCACUGUCAAGGAGUACCUGGCUAAAGAAUCUCCAGCUAGACAAAGUAGAAGUGUCUGUGCUCUGGCAGUUGAAUAUAUUGUAUCAGGCUCAACAGCACCUUUCACCAAAGGAUGAGACUUCACAACCAUUAGAUCUUCUUUUAUUUUGUUUUUAUUAAAAAAAAAAAUUUUAACACACCAUUGCUAACUUGAAGCCAUUAGAUCUUCUUACCCCCAAUACCACAAAAGUUUAGUGGAAUCAGGGGUAUACCAAGGCAGGUGGAGUAGGGGAGCUGGGAGUGGUCAGCCCCCAGGGCAGGCAAUGAGGGAUUGUGAAUCUGUGAAGAAUUUUAAAGCAAUGAUACAGCUCUAAAUGCAAUGUACUAUCCUGGACUUAGCCCUGGAAAAGAAAAAAGAUAUUAGUGGAAAAACUGGUAAAAUUCAAAUAAUGUCUGUAGUUUGGUUAAUAGUAUUAUACCAAUGUUAAUUUCUGUGUUUUGAUAAAUGUACCAUGGUUAUGUAAGCUGGAUGAAAGAUAUGUGGGAAAUCUCUCUACUAUUUCUGCAACUCUCCUGUAAACCUAAAAAUGUUUCAAAAUAAAAGAUUUAAUGCUAAAAUUGACUGAAAAU
Molecule: long non-coding RNA, 1817 nt
Organism: Homo sapiens (human)
Lineage: Eukaryota; Metazoa; Chordata; Mammalia; Primates; Hominidae
Gene: TRAM2-AS1
Product: TRAM2 antisense RNA 1 (head to head)
Source: Ensembl